UACGGAAGGCAGCAGUGGGGAAUAUUGCACAAUGGGCGCAAGCCUGAUGCAGCCAUGCCGCGUGUAUGAAGAAGGCCUUCGGGUUGUAAAGUACUUUCAGUCGUGAGGAAGGUGUUAAGGUUAAUAACCUUAGCAAUUGACGUUAGCGACAGAAGAAGCACCGGCUAACUCCGUGCCAGCAGCCGCGGUAAUACGGAGGGUGCGAGCGUUAAUCGGAAUUACUGGGCGUAAAGGGCACGCAGGCGGUUAAUUAAGUUGGAUGUGAAAUCCCCCGGGCUUAACCUGGGAAUGGCAUUCAAGACUGGUUAGCUAGAGUCUUGUAGAGGGGGUAGAAUUCCAUGUGUAGCGGUGAAAUGCGUAGAGAUGUGGAGGAAUACCGGGUGGCGAAGGCGGCCCCUGGGACAAAGACUGACGCUCAUGUGCGAAAGCGUGGGGAGCAAACAGGGAUUAGAUACC
This 456-nucleotide ribosomal RNA is filed under the name uncultured bacterium. RNAcentral's name for it is "bacterial SSU rRNA". It matches the Rfam family "Bacterial small subunit ribosomal RNA", at positions 340 to 786 of the family's 1533-position model. The record is from RNAcentral.